AUUAAUAUAGUUUAAAAAAAACGCUGUCUUUUCAAGACAAAAAUGAUUAAAUUAAUCUAUUGAUA
Molecule: transfer RNA, 65 nt
Filed under: Trogoderma variabile
Lineage: Eukaryota; Metazoa; Arthropoda; Insecta; Coleoptera; Dermestidae
Description: tRNA-Glu
Source: RNAcentral